RNAcentral lists this ribosomal RNA (433 nucleotides) under uncultured bacterium. Its description in RNAcentral is "partial 16S ribosomal RNA". It matches the Rfam family "Bacterial small subunit ribosomal RNA", at positions 29 to 507 of the family's 1533-position model. The record is from RNAcentral.
AGCGAACGCUGGCGGCAGGCCUAACACAUGCAAGUCGAACGAACUCUUCGGAGUUAGUGGCGGACGGGUGAGUAACACGUGGGAACGUGCCCUUUGGUUCGGAAUAACUCAGGGAAACUUGUGCUAAUACCGAAUGUGCCCUUCGGGGGAAAGAUUUAUCGCCAUUGGAGCGGCCCGCGUCUGAUUAGCUAGUUGGUGAGGUAACGGCUCACCAAGGCGACGAUCAGUAGCUGGUCUGAGAGGAUGACCAGCCACACUGGGACUGAGACACGGCCCAGACUCCUACGGGAGGCAGCAGUGGGGAAUCUUGCGCAAUGGGCGAAAGCCUGACGCAGCCAUGCCGCGUGAAUGAUGAAGGUCUUAGGAUUGUAAAAUUCUUUCACCGGGGACGAUAAUGACGGUACCCGGAGAAGAAGCCCCGGCUAACUUCGUG